AGGAGCCUCAAGGUGGACAUCACUGUAGUCAGAUGAUAAAGGUUAACAUCACCAACAAUAGAACAGUGCAGCAGCAUGUGCCUCCUAGUGUGACACACUGAGAACACAGAAUUGUUACUGGGAUAUUUCUGCCACAAGUACUUCACUUAAUCAAUUGAGAGAAAACACCAGACAAAACCCACUUGGAGGGAUGUGCUAUCAAAAGUCGGAUACUUAAUAAAAGUCAGUCUUGUGAAGUACUAAGGGAGCUUGAGGACUUCUGUAAUAAAAGGAAGUAACGGAAGAUGACAACUGAAUGGCAGAUGAUGCUGAGUUUCAAGCAUAUGGCCAUUUCAUGUCCUACCAAUCACCUACCCAAAGUUUCCAAAAAAGACCAGUCAUUAUGAGAAGCUAAAAUAAGAUAUUUAAAAAAAGUAGACCUGGGCAGCCAAUAGACCUUAGAGAGAUUUUCUAAACCUGGGAGCAAUGAAGCCAACAUCUCAGAACUACACAGAUCGCUCAAGC
Long non-coding RNA from Ochotona curzoniae (black-lipped pika), 504 nucleotides. RefSeq lists it as uncharacterized. The record is from RefSeq and is a predicted model, not a curated record. NCBI's taxonomy places the organism in Eukaryota, Metazoa, Chordata, Mammalia, Lagomorpha, Ochotonidae. The transcript is spliced from 3 exons.